UUGUUACAAGUUAUGACAAUCUGUUUGUCUAAACACAUAUAUGAAAAAACAUACUCUGAGUGGAUAUUAGUAUGCUGAUAGAUUGGGUACACCGUUUAUCUUCUUCUCUUAUCCUAAAUAGUUCGUAAAUUGCUACAUGUUAUGACAAUAUGUUUGUCUAGACAUGUAUAUGAAAAAAAAAAUACUCUGAGUGGAUAUUAGUAUGGUGAUAGAUUGGGUACACCAUUUAUCUUCUUCUUUUGUCAUAAAUAGUUCGUAAAUUACUACAUGUUCUGACAAUUUGUUUGUCUAAAUACAGAUAUGAAAAAAUAUACUCUGAGUGACACAAGUAUGAUCACUUCAUUCGCAUUUUCUUUAUUCAUUAUUGAGUCCAAAUCACAAGAUGGAGAAAAGCAAAUGAAAAUAAGCUAAAAACUGAAUUGAUUUAAUUGUAAACUUUAAGCAUAAACAAUGUGUAUCAACAGUGUGAUUCAACCGAAGCCAAAACAAGUUGAGGUUCUUCCAUUGCAGAAUCGCAUGUUCCAUCAAUUGCAUUGUUCUUCCCCAAUACCUUCAAUGCUAAAUGAGCUGCCUUCUGCCCUGAUAUCAUCAUAGCUCCAAAUGUUGGACCCUACAAAAAUCACCAACAAAAGCGUGAUCACAUCUUAAUCAAAUGUUUCUUACCAUCUUCAAGUUAAUUGCACUAAAAUCAAUUAAUUUGCACUUGAAAAGAUCUAAAAAAAACCUGAUAUUAAUUUUCACAUUACUUUAAUCACUUCUUAAAUCAAAGAAGGUUCAAGAAACAACGAGCAACAACAUGUGAAGAGGUAAAAAAAAGGGUUGGAAAGAACAAGAUCAGCUACUAUUAGAAUUAGACAAAUGAUUAACGUGCCAAUUUGUACACAGAUGAAGAGCAGUGUCUUCCCUCCUCUUUUUUCACUUAAGAAAGGAAAAUUAGAGAGGUAAAUUAAAUUUCAAAGAUUAUUAUGGAAGCUCAAGCUUAUAAUUUAGUUUGAUGAAUAAGUUUGUUUGUUUUAUUUCUUUUAUUGGUUGGUUAUUAUUAUUAUUCCAACAAACUAUGUGUUGUUGCCUUUGGUGUAGAAUAGGUGUUAAUUUGGAUGGAUCUGAGAAAAUUAUUACAAUGUAAAUCCUGACUUGUAUAAUCAUUGGAUUGUGCAUGCAUUGCAUUGGAGUUGGCAUCAUCACUAAAGCCAAAAAUAUGUUUCUGCUUUGUCUGAAUAGCUGACCAAGAAGGAGGAGAUAUUUCACAUGAUAGAUGCAGAGUUGUUCUGCAUGUGAGUCCCACAUGAGCAUCUAACAUCCACAAACAUUUGAAUCAGAGGAUGCUAUAUCAAUUAUUAUCAAAUUAAUAUCUGUGAGUUUGUAAGAUUUUUCUAGGAAAACAUAAUAUAAAGACCAUAAUUUGAGUGUAUGCCUUUUGCCUUGCCCAAGUAAAUAUUUUUUUAAGAUGCCAAUUGCCAAGCAUUUGAUUUGAAACACAAAAGUUAUUAGUCAUGUGACAAGUUUAUUUUAUAUUAGCGGUGUAAAUAAUAAUAAUUUGUCCAUUCUUUUGGUCAUAUUUACGAGAAAAAAUAGAUCGAAUAAAAUUGAUGUAUUUAAUCUAAAAUUUGAAGAGAGUAUAUUUUUGUUGAGAUUUUUUUUAGAAGUUGAAUCUUGAGACUCACAGGUUAUAGUUGAGAGUUUCUUUGUGACUAUAACUAAUAGUAUAGGAUUGAAAGAAGUUUGAUACAUUAAUAUCAUAACAAAGUUUCAAGAAUAAAAGAAGCUAAUGAUUGGGAAGUAUGAAACACUAAAUUAGAAUCAACCUUUGUAUAGCACAAAGGGUUCGUUUUAGGGAUGGGGCAUAUAAACUAGGUGUGUUGAUAUUUAAAAUUAUGAUCAUUGGGAUGUGACUUAGCAAGGAAUAUUUUUGCCAAUCACUUUCAAUGACUUAUCUUUAAUCGCGAUUGGAAAUUAAAUCAUGUACAAAGACAUGUUUAGUCUGUCAGUUAUUUCAAUAGAUUAGACUCUACACCUGCAUAUACUUUAAUUUUUGUCAUAUUCCAUUCAAUACUCUCCGCUUCUUUUCCCUGUCAAUUUGAGGGUAUGGAAUGGAGUGGGAUUUCCCUAUUUUUUUUCUCUUUAAUUCUCCUCUUUAUUAUUAUAGUUUUGAGUUAUUUAAAGUUACCUAAUAUCACAUUAGCCGUUGCACUGUGUAGAAGUAGCAGGGGGUCCAUUUUCGAAAAUGGAGAGCAUAAAAAGUGAAAGAGGAUACAUUUCCGUGGAAUGUAAUCCAUACACUUUGCAUUCCAUUAUAAAAUUAUUCAAUACAAUGAUAGUUUUUUAUUCAAUUAUACUUCUUCUAUUCCAUUCCAUUUCAAUCUGAUAUUAAUAAACCUGAGUUUUCUAGCAUGAGACCGUUAUAAGUUUUUUCUUUUUUAAAAUACAUGUAGUACACUAAAACCAGAAUAUAAAACGAGUAUGAAAAACAAAAAACACCAAAAAGGCAUGAACUUUUUUAAUAAAAUAAUAAAUAAUGCCUAUACAAUGAUAACAGAACAUUCUAACUUUCAAGGAACUGAGAAUCAAAGUUGAAUGAAUCUGUUCCACCAAUCAGAAAGUACACUCCAAGUCAAAACAAUAAAUCUAUAUGCUCUUAUCAAGAGAAGGUUGAGUUGAAGUUCGACCUUCGGUUUUCGAGUUGAAAAUGAAGAAUUUCCACCAAAAUCAGAAUAAUCCAAGCACGCAAAAAAUCUUGACAAAAGGAAAGUCUUUAUCUCAAGGUGCUGGAGGUGACAAGAAACUAUUGCCGGAAGUUCUGUUGAUAAAUAUAUGCUUAAUAAGUCAGAAAACCAACAAUGGUAGAACUCAUGAUGUCAAGGAUAAAAUGUUUACUUAUUUACCUGAUGAUAAGUCCUGGUUUUCCAAUAAGAUUUGCUGGAAUUUGACCAGUCAAAUUGUUAUUUUGUAAAAAUCUGCUUACAACAAAGGAAGAGAAGAAAUUUAUGAGAACUGAAGGGUAACUAGCUGAUCUUCCACACACACUGGUAUUGCAGUGCAUUUACUGCCUCGUUUGAAGAUGUUGUCAUUCUAUUUUCAGGAAGUAAUCAAGAGAAAUAAUACUUAACCAACUAGAAGAAGCUUAUCUUUUAUUGACAAAUUUAUUAGAUUGAUUGGCAUCAAAGUAUGCAACAACUGAACAAUCAAUUCUCUUAUUUUUUCAAUAUUAUGCAUGUUUGGCUCUGAUGCUCCGUAAUCUAAACAAGUAUGGUAAGAUAAUAAGCAUGUAUUACUCAUAUAAUGAUACAACACAUAAGUAGAACUUACAUUUCUUUUAAGCUGCCAAUGUUCCCUAGGGAUGAUGAAAUCAAGAUCUUCUUGUUAGAGAGCUUGCUCAUCAGGAAAAAUGGAAAAGGUGUCCCAAAUGCAAAUUCUAUAUCAAAAAAUUUGAAGGCUGUUUGCAUAUCACAUGCAGUUAGUGAGUCGCAUUAUUAUGUUUUUAUACUGAUAUUAGGCGGCGUAAGUCAUCUUUGCAAAAUGAAACAGGAAGGAUGAGGGACCACUCUUUCAUAAGUGGUGCUCGAUAGAUGGGUUUUCAUAUGUUUUUAUAUAGAACUUAGAUCAUUCGAACAAAACUAGCUGCUAAAGCGAAGGGUUUAAGUUUUUGAGUCUAGUGAGUUUGCGAUAUCACUGUAAAACUACAUUGUGCUAACAUCCAACAACCACCCUUUAUUUUGGUAGUGUAAAAAUUCCAUGAUAUUUUAAAAUUAAUGGCUCUUAUUUACUGGUAGUGUAAAUUAAUGGCUCUUACAUCCACGAUCUAUUUUCUUUAGGUUUUUAUUUAUUAUUUUUGGAAAAGAAGAAAACCAUAUCAGGUAAGUCAGUUUUCUUCACAACUAUACAACUCUUUGUUUGGAAACAUAAGAAAAGGGAAGAAAAAAAUUGUUUGCAUUUUAAACAUGAUCAUGCAGUUUUUGAGUUUAUCAUCAAAAGGGUAAUUAUGUGUAAAAAAAAAUAGUGUAAAUUGUUUUUUUUUUUACUUGAAUUGUGAAUAAGAAUAAGCCGGUGGUGUUUAUUUGCAGGUGCCGAUUCGAAUUUUGCUAUGCUUGCGGUGAAAAAUGGACAUCUAACCAUAGUGAUUGCCAACGAAGCUAGAUAGAUUUGACAGGUUUAAUAAAGAAUGAUAGUGUAUAUGGAUAUCACUAUUAUUUCUGAUUUUCAUAAAGUAGGUAGUUUGUUGGUCGUCUUGACGUGGAUAUCACGAUUAUUAGCUAGUUUAGUAUGACGUUUUUUUUUAUGCUUGUAAGAAAAAAAUGUUGCAUGGUCCUUUUGAAAGUAUACAUGCUAAGUUGCUAUUGCUUAACAUGAAUCAUGCAUGUCUUGAUCUUACUCCUGUUCUUAUGUUUAUGUUGGUCUUACACUAUUCUUCUACCCAGUUGUUCACAUUAGAAUAAUCUUCUCGAGUUCUAACAUUUCCUUCUGUUAUUAAGAAUUGUAACAAAACCAGCAGUGACGCUAUAAUUGUCAGGCUGCAACUGGGCGUUAAGUUUCGCGCCUUUGCACUAAUGCACUGUCAAUUGGCAUAUCAUUAUGUGAUUUCCUGUCAAAUAAAUUUUCCGAAAUUUCUACUUAGUUUUGUUUUUUUUAUAAAAAGGAUCGGAUGCCAACUAGUAAUGUUUUGUGGCCGCCAUUUUUAGAGGAUGCCAUGAUAGGUCAUCACUCAAAUUAAGUGUUUCAAUAUAUUUCAGUUAUCUUAAUUUUAGUUUUGAUGAAAUAAUCGAUAUGGCACCGUAGAAGCUUUGACUCAUUACCUCUAGAAAAGGCUUUUGAACUGUGCAAAACUUUGCUGAAUACUGCCCCCUAUGCAAAACUGUGCUGAAUCAAUCAAUUAGCUAUGCUACUCCACUAUGACACCACUUGGAGUAUAAAACAAAAGAGACAUGUGUCCCAAUGUUGACGCCCAUGUGAAUGAUUUAAAUGUAAAAUUUUGUCUUAAACUUGAGUUUUCAACUCUAAAAAUUCAAUCAUUGUGUUUUCAAUAAAAAAAAUGUGCCCUUAAGACCCAUGUUAUGGCCCAAAACAAAAUGCUCUUAGUACUAGUUUCUUUUGGAUUACCCCAUCAGAGGUCAAAGCAUAACACCCCUUUAUUUCUAUUACAAUUUCUAUUCUCUUUAUUAAGCAUUCCUCACAUCAACUUUGAAAUGUACGACAAUAACAAUUACAAAGGCGACUAUAUUUUUUAAGGGGUCUCUUCCAAUAUUAAUCAAAUCAUGAUGCCUCAACAAAACAAUGGUGUCAGAGUUAUAACGGCUGGCAGAUGCAGAUGCAGCCGCAGAACUCUUUAGUUAUAACAAAGAUUUUCGGAAAAUAACACGUUUUGACAAAACUAUUUAGAGACAACAAAAUUAGGAUAUUCUAAGGGACUGUUUGUUCAACGGAGGGAGGCGGGAUUUUAAAAUCUUUUGUCUUUGGUUUAACGAGGGGAGGGAAGAGAUCUUAAUAGAGGGAUAGUGUAAAAUUACAUAUUCAACCAUUGUAAUAUUUAAGAUCACAUUAAAUAAAAGCCUACUUAAAUCCAAAUAUGAUAUAAAUACUUUCUCCCCUCUAGAUCCCCCCACUCUUGGAGGGGAGCUAAAAUUGGGAUUUGGCUCCCCUCCCCUCCCAACCAAACACAAUUGCAAGUAGUAAGCAACUCUGGACAUGGUUAUUUUUGGUCAACAGAAUUCUCUCCUCCAGAAGUGCUAAGUGGAUCAAAUUUUGGUCAGGAUAAGCAACUUAAUAGAGAUCUAUGGGUUUAACAAAACCCACUUGAUUUUCUCAUUCAUAGCUACACCCCAAACAUCGGACAAAUGGCUUUAUCUCUCUUGGACUUGCACAAAAAAACAAGUCUCUACAUAACCAGUUUUAAGGGCGCAACUUAAUACAUAACAAUCAACUUAACAGCAUAAAUUUCAGAAAUAAAAAUGACUGCAACACGAUCCAACUAACAUUACACUAACCAUAACAAGUCCAAACAAAAUGUACUCUAUUAUAAAAAUUCUUCAAUACUCAAAUUCCAGCUCAAAUCUGUGCCACUGCCACAAAAGGGCAAUGCCAAGCUACAUAUAAUCUCUGGCAAAAGUUCUAGCAUAACAUAAAACAUCCUUUUCUGUAAGAUUUAAAAUUACGGAAUGGAAAGAGUUUAACAAACCUCAAAAUUCAGUUCCAGCUAGAAGGACAAUACCCAUGAAUCCCAUAACCAGUCUUCCAAUUAUUCAAAUAAACAACCUAUUCAAAUAUACAACCCAUCACUUCAUUCGCAUUUUCUUUAUUCAUUAUUGAGUCCAAAUCACAGGCAGAAGAAAAGCAAAUGGAAAAUAAGCUAAAAACUAAAUCGAUUUAACUGGAAACUUUAAGCAUCAACAGUGUCCUCUAAUUCAACAGAAGCCAAAACAAGCUCAGGUUCUUCCCUUGCAGAAUCGCAUGUUCCAUCAAUUGCAUUGUUCCUCCCCAAUGCCUUCAAUGCCAAAUGAGCUGCCUUCUGCCCUGAUAUCAUCAUAGCUCCAAAUGUUGGACCCUACAAAAAUCAUCAACAAAAUCGUUAUCACAUCUUAGUCAAAUGUUUCUUACCAUUUUCAAAUUAAUUGCACUAAAACCAAUCAACUUGCAGUUGAAAAUAUAUAAAAAAAACCCUGAUCUUAAUUUCCACAUUACUUUAAUCACUACCUAAAUCAGAAUUGUACAAACAAGUCUAUAAACAAAAUAUUCUUCUCUUUGGUAGAUUAUAAACAAAAAUUCUUGUUCCUGCACAACAUUAACUCAAUAUAUUAUUACACAAAAUUGUCCAAGCCUACAUUAUUUACGCACACAUUAACUCCUAGAAUCAUGUUUUGUUAAAUCAAACAUGAUUUAACCAUAAAUUGUUGUUAAAUUUGACUCCAACUUUAGAAUUGAUUCCAAUCACAAAAUUAAUUAUUUAAAAGCAAAUAUUUCUUUUGUAAAAAAAAAAGCAAAUAUAUUUAGCUUCUAUGAUAACUAGAAUCAUUUUUCAAAUUUAUUGAUAUACAUACACACAUAAACAAUUAUUAUUUUGAAAUAGAUAAAAAUUAUUAUUAUUUAUUUUAAACAUACCUAAUAUAAAUAACUUUACCUUCAAUUUAUUUAACAUUAAUUUCAUAAAAAUUACUUAAGUCAUAAUCAACUAGUAUCAAUUAUUAUCACAUAGGAACCAAACACACUAAUUAACCUUGUACCGGAAACAAAGAAGCUUACCAUUCUUGGAGCUCCAUCAAUUUCAGCAACUUCCAUACCAGUAACAAUCAUACCAGGAACAACCUCCCUAGUAAGACGAACAAUAGCAUCUUCCGCAGUAUUCAUAUCAAGUGCUUUCAUUCCAGGAACAAAGUCAAUCAUACCAAUACUCUUCAACCUCUUAACACCAGUGGCACCAAAAGGACCAUCAUGUCCACAAGAACUCACAACAACCUUAGCUUCCAUAACAUUAGGAUCCAUACAAGACUGUGUAUCAUGGUUCAUUGAAACCAAAGCCCAAUUCGUAACAACACCACCAACUCUUCCUUCUUUCACAAUCAAAUCCUCGGCAGCAACAGCAUUGAACAAUUUCACGUUAGGUCUAGCGAGAAGUUUACUCAUGAUUGUUGAAGUGAACAAAGCAGCGUGUUUGAUUACAACGUAGUCUUCUUGUUCGUCGUAGUCAACGCCAAUUUCGUCGAGGAAGAGGUGAGCUGGUUUGCGGACAACCAUGGCGGAGAAGAGUUGGCCGCCGAGCCAUGCACCGCCGCCGGGACUGACGGAUUGUUCGAUUAUGGCUAUAUUGAUGUUAGGAUUUUUGCUUAAUUCGUAAGCGCAUGAAAGACCGGCGGAACCGGCACCGACGAUGACGACGUCGGUGUCGGCAUAGGUAAUCAUGUCUGUCAUGUAACGGCGUGUCAUUUCACGAGAGACGAUGGAUUCUUUGAUGGGUUGGAAUUUGAAGGAUUGAAGAUCGUAAGGAGGUGUGUUGAGGGACAUGGAGACUGAAGAAUAGUUAUGGGAGGUGGAUUUGAUUAAGUGGGAGGUGCGGGUAGCAAUUGAUCUUCCAUUGAAGAAUGAGGAUUUAGGAGUUGAAGAGAGAGAAGUGGUGAUAGAUGAGGUGGCCAUUGUGGCUGCGAGAAAGAAGAGUAUUUUAGGAAUAGAAAGGUAAUUGAUAUUUGUGAGAGAAGAGUAGCAGAUGAGUUUUAUAAAGAAGGAAAGAGGUGAAGAGGAUACAAUUUGAAAGGCUCACAAUUAAUUCAAGUGGGUGUUGAACGGCUGUCAGUUACUAUUUUGUACAUCCACAUCACAAAUUAAAAGAUACUCCCUCCCUUCUUUUUAAGUGUCUUUUAUUUAUUUAUUUAUCAUUUUUAAACUCAAAUUUUAGUUAUUAUUACUAUUUUAAUAUUAUCUAAUAUACUAUAUGUAAAGUGCAGAUAUGACGUCAAUAAAUAUUUACAUAUAUAAUAUAGAGUGAAUGCUAAGUCACUUUACAAAACGGCCCUAUUUUAUAUGGAAGUGAAAAAAUAGUGACAGCUGUGGGAUUUGAACCCACGCCCUUUCGGACCAGAGCCUAAAUCUGGCGCCUUAGACCACUCGGCCAAACUGUCUGAUUGAUAUCUUCUCUCAAUUAAAUGUUGAUAUAGCCUUAUUAAUACAAAUAUACUAGAUAAUCCAUAAACAAAAAAACAUCAUUCUUUAUUUAUAUAUAUAAAUCAUGAGUUGGUUUGUUUAAAAAAAAAAAUCUAUUUUUAUUUCUUAAAUUUUAUUUGUUAGUAAAAAAUUAAAAAAAAGGAAAUAAUUUUCUUUUGUUGAUGUAAACGAUUGUUAAAUUUAAAAGUCAAAAUGUCUUUAUAUACUAUCAUCAUAUCUAAGAUGAGAAAAGAAUAUUUUAUUAGAUUUGUUUCACUUAUAACAUUCUUCUCGAUGGAUUUAUAUCAUUGAAAUAUAGCGGAAUGACAUAGGACCAGUAGCAUCAAAUUUUUAAUAUUAACUAAUGUAUUUUAUUCUAUUUCAAUUACAUUUCAUCUUAUGCCAUCAAUCUAACAAUAUACCCUUUGAUUUCAUCUUAUGCCAUCAAUCCAACAAUACCCUUUGAUUGAAAAUGUGCGUGUAGUUUUCCUAUAAUUAUUAAUUUUAAUUAACGACUCUGAUUCUUUUAGGGAGAUAAAUCUAAUGAAAUUAACUUUAACGAUAAAUAUUUUUGGCAUGAUUUAGCAACAAGAGCUUAAUAACCGCAAAAUUGAUUCAGUAAUCCUCAACAUGCUGCGAGCAUGAAUGGUGUCAAUUUCUAUUAUUAAAAGACCAGCUCAGAAUGAUCACAUUCUUACAUGCAAUGGCCAAACUCCAUUUUCAUUAUUGUGCAUAUAGUCUUGUCUUGACAAACCAUAUGCAAUUUGCAAAAAGCAGCCUGUCUGUGGUCCCAUUCUCACAUUUUUUUCUACAUUACUAUAAUACUACUAUUUCACUAUUUUGACUCUGCAUUAUUGUCAUUUUUCAUUCACUAAUAUACCCUUUUCUUGUCUUUCUUGUAAAAGAUAAAUCCUUAUUUUCUAUGCAUCUCAUCCUCAUCUUACUAUGACCAAUUUUACCAAGUGAAAUGGUACACUGAUGACCGUUCCAUCUUGUUUGGAUGAUAAAAUCAUAUAGUAUACGGAUGACUGUUAAAUUUUAGUGCAUUAAUAAAAAAUUAUCGAGUUUUGAUUUAAACUAUUUGAUUUUAAUCGCACGAUUGUAGAUACGUGAUUAUUUUAAUUUAUUAAUUUCAUUGAAUUUAGAUUCCAAUUUUAUCAAUCUCUAUUUAGUUUUUUUUUAAGAUAUAUUAUAAGCAAAUUUAUUUAACUAAUUAGCUAAUUGAUAUUAUUUUUUAUUAGAUAAUAAAGUGUGAGUUUCUCCACUCGUAUUCUAAUAAAGUGGAACAUAAACAAAAAAUUAUAAUUAAAAAAUUAAUAUAUCAAAUACAUCGAUUUUUAAUAAAAGUAAUAUCCAAUAAUAUGACCCUCACAAUGACUAACAUAUUUUAGAAAAAAAACACUUAGACUGACUCUUGUGAUAAGUUAUCACAAUCAAUUAAAACCAACGAAAUAUAUAUUUUACUAAUUAUGUCAAAUCUAUUUUUAUUAAAAAAAGUUAAUAAAGUAGUGACUGAUUUUAAUUGAUUAUUGGAUAACAAUUUUCAAUAUGUUUUUAACAUUCUAUUGACUUUGGGGUAAUGAUGUUAUUAUAAGUGAAUGGGCAAAGUUGUACAUUUGUCACAUGCAAAUUAAUUAAACAGGUAAAUGCUAGAACAAAGUGGAACAAUAGCAUAUGACAUUACAACUGGAUGUGCAGAAAUCAUUUUCAAAGUAACGAUUAUUUAAUGAAGUGCGACACCUCGGGUUCAGAGAUCCAUCAACUGAGAAACCCUCCAUUCUCUUGACCCAAAAUUCUCAGAAUGGAUUCCGGGGCCUAUUCUUCAGUUUCCAUUAUUAUUUUCCUUGCAGCCAUCAUAGCUAGUGCUUAUUAUCAUUCAGCAGAAGCAGCUAUGUCUAAGGGAUCUUUUGAAGAUAAUUUCAGCAUAAUGUGGUCUCAAGAUCAUUUUACUACCUCUGAAGAUGGACAGAUCUGGUAUCUUUCUUUAGACAACGACACAGGUAUCAAAUCAAAUGCAUUCUCAUGUUAUAUUUUUUUUAAGAAUCGAAGUUACAAAGACCGAAUCUUAUUGCAUCGUUGCAGCAAAAUCACUCUGCCACUUACAAUAUUAUAGUCUAUCUUAUGUGUUGAUUUGAUUAAUUUGAUUUCUUUAUAAGCAAAAAUAUAUUAUGAAGAGUACUAAGUACUCAAAGAAUAUAGUCAAUGUUUUAAUUGUUAGCAUCAAAGUCUAUAUUUUGAGGCCAUUCCUAAAGCAAUGAAUGUUUUAUCAGGAUGUGGGUUUCAAACAAAACAAAGGUACAGAUUUGGGUGGUUUAGUAUGAAGCUGAAGUUGGUAGGAGGUGAUUCUGCUGGUGUUGUAACAGCUUAUUAUGUAAGUGUACAUUUACAUAACAUUGAAAUAUAGUACUACUAAAUGUGUUUCUUUAAAGAGUUCCUCUCUAAGAAGCACUCACACAUACACCUGAUAAGAAAUUGUUAUUGAAACUUUGAAAAAAUAUAAUUGAAUGUAAUUAUAUUUGUCGGUGUUAUGUUAGUGUCAACACUGAAAUAUGUCAACCACCAAACGCACCUUCAAUAUGAAGUAUAAGUGAUAUGAAGUAUAAGUGCUACAUAUGUUACUUUGUGUUUCUAUGAAUCCAAUUGGUGGGGUGUUUGAUAAGAAUGGUGGAAUUGUUGCAGAUGUGCACAGAAAAUGGUGCAGGACCAGAAAGAGAUGAACUUGAUUUUGAGUUUUUGGGAAACAGAACAGGGCAACCAUAUUUGAUUCAGACAAAUGUGUACAAGAAUGGAACUGGUGGGCGUGAGAUGAGACAUAUGCUAUGGUUUGAUCCAACUGAGGAUUAUCACACUUAUUCCAUCCUAUGGAACAAUCAUCAGAUAGUGUAAGUGCAAUCUUAUACUCAUCUUAUUAGUGUUUGUUAAUCUUAUAAAUUAUAAGCCAAGUUUCACAAAAUAAAAGAGAGUAGAUCAUCAUCAAAAUGUUUGCAAAAAAUGGUAAUGAAUCUAAAACGGUACCCUUCUUUAUGCUUUUGUCGGUUUAAGGCUUCUUUUCUGAAUUGUCAAAAAGUAGUACAAGAUAUGAUUGUGUGGUUAAAGAAACGAAUAUAGUUAGUAAAAUCUACACUAUGUGGGCCUAGUUUAAUUAUUAUUGUUACCUACUCAUAUGUAUAUUUAGGCUAUUCUUUGUGUUGUUAAGUUGGUAAAUCUUAUAAAAUUUAAUUGAAUGGAAAAUGAAACUUGAAUAUAAAUAUCAUUUGUCCAAUUUGGGUAUUUAUUUUUAAGCUAAGAUGAAUAAAAUUUUGUUUACUGAAUGUUGGAAACAGGUUUUUUGUGGAUAGAGUUCCUAUAAGGGUAUUCAAGAACAAUGAAAAACCAAACAAUUUCUUCCCGAAUGAGAAACCAAUGUACUUGUUUUCAAGUGUAUGGAAUGCAGAUGAUUGGGCCACAAGAGGUGGACUUGAGAAAACAAAUUGGAAAUUAGCUCCAUUUGUGUCAUCUUACAAAGAUUUCAGUGUUGAUGCUUGUCAAUGGAAAGAUCCAUAUCCUACAUGUGUUUCAACCACAACAAAAAGUUGGUGGGAUCAAUAUGAUGCUUGGCAUCUAUCAGGAGAUCAAAAAAUGGAUUAUGCUUGGGUUCAGAGAAACCUUGUGAUUUAUGAUUAUUGUAAGGAUUCUGAACGUUAUCCGAUUCUGCCAGAAGAGUGCUCAUUGAGUCCAUGGGAAUAAUGUAUCAAGGGGAAAAUAUUAUUUUUCUUUUAAUUAAAUAUUUUUUUUUUUGUAUUAUCAAAAUAUUUUAGUUAGCAGAGUUUUUUUAUUCGUUGAAUAUUAUUUUCUGAUUAUGUAAAAGCACAUUCCAUAAUAGAUGAAGUUUACAUGGCUUACAAUUUCACUUCUACAACCACAAUUAAUCACUACUUCAUUCCCCCCCCCCCCCCCCUCNNNNNNNNNNNNNNNNNNNNNNNNNNNNNNNNNNNNNNNNNNNNNNNNNNNNNNNNNNNNNNNNNNNNNNNNNNNNNNNNNNNNNNNNNNNNNNNNNNNNNNNNNNNNNNNNNNNNNNNNNNNNNNNNNNNNNNNNNNNNNNNNNNNNNNNNNNNNNNNNNNNNNNNNNNNNNNNNNNNNNNNNNNNNNNNUAGAGUAGAGAUGUAAAAUAGGUCGGUUCAGUAGUCUAAAUGACCCAUACACGUGAAUAGUUUAGUUUUGGUCCGAUUCACUUUGUUAUAGAGUUGUGUUUUAUUAAGAUUGGCUCAUCUAUUAUGGGUUAUGUGGAUUAGCAGUAGUCUUGGUCGACGCGCAAGAACCACAAUAAUACUAUGUUGUGGAUUAGCAGUAGUCUUGGUCGACGCGCAAGAACCACAAUAAUACUAUGUUGUUGAUUAGCAGUAGUCUUGGUCGACGCGCAAGAACCACAAUAAUACUAUGUUGUUUUUAACUUUUAGUAGAAUACAUUUUUUUAAAAAAAUUAAGUUUUUUUUUUUUAAUUAUGAUCAAUCUAUUACUUUAUUUUUUUUAAAUCAAUUCAAAAAGACUAAUUUGACCGCCAUCAAGUCGAAUGAGAAUGAGUUAUUGAAGUGUUUUGAAUUUAUAAAUCUGAAAUUUGUACGAUACAUUAGCAUAUUUCUCAGCUUGAAUUUUGAGAAGUUCAUGGAAACACUUGUCUUGCAAACCGUAGAUCCCAUUUGUUGCUUAUUAUUCUCAAUUUCAUCACUUGGGAUUUUUCCAAGAAAGGAUAUCCCUUCCUAGUUUUAAAUUCAAGUAGGAGUAAUUGUUUUAUUAGAUUUUGACCUCUUCCUCCAAACUCUUUUAAUUUUAUUUGAAUGUAUUUUGUUAUGUGUUACAAAUGAUUGUUAGCAGUUGACUGUGUCAAAUAUAUUUGAAAUGUCAUUCUCUGAUACAAUGCAUUUGCAUUGUAAUAGCAUUUUAUAUAAAAUAAAAUCGAUAGAUGGAUUAAAUUCAUCAUCUAAAAUCGAUGGAUGGAUUAAAUUGAUCGAGAAACAUUUAAUUUUACAAAUAAAUUUGUCUAAUUAGAUUUCAAAUAUUCUUUUUCAAAUUAAAUUAAAUUGAACUUAAUAGCAAAUAUAACUUUUCAUAAUUAUUUAUUUUAUAAUUAGUAUGAGAUGUUGUAUAAUUCUUUUUUAAAUUAAAGUAUUUUUACAUGCAACUACAGAGAUUAAUUAUUCGAAGUAAUUGAGAUCUAUGUAAAAAUGAUUAAUCUCCCCAACAAUAUUUUUGUAUGCAUAUCAACUAGAAUGGUACCCUCAACCAAAUAGUUAAAAAAACUUAAACAUCUAUUACUUGUAUUCAUACUUAUUAGUUUAAUAUAAUAUAUACCUUAGUUCUUUUUUAAUACUCAUUUUCAGAUUAUUUACAAUUGCCAAUAAAAACUAAUAAAUUUUGUUAUUUUUCAUAAAAUUAAAUAUCUUUUACCUUUAAUAUUAUUUAUUAUCUCAUUUUAUGUUUUUUUUUCUUCUCUUUGCAAUAAACAAUUAGAGAUAAUUUUGUCAAACCAAUAGUUUUUUUUUUCUCUACUUUAAAUUUUGAAAACGACAAAUAAAAAGAAACAAAAAUUUCUAUUAUAAGCCAUUAAAAAUAAAUGGAGAAACUAUUAUUUUAUUAUUUUAUUAUUUCAUAUGUUGCAAACCUAAUUAAUAAUAUAAAUAUUAUUAAUAAUAUUCAUCUUGUCUCAAAUUGAUAUCAAAUAUACCAAAUUUUUAAUUACAUUUUUUAUCUAUAUUUCACUUGAUAUGAAGUAUUUAAAAAGAAAUUUUUUAUAGGAUGUUAUUUGAUAUAAUAAUAUAAAUAUUUCUUACAAAUAAAUGUAAAUUGUUAAUUUUAUUAAUAAAGAGGGAGAAACAUUAACAACCGCCGAACUGUUGACAUCCUAAGCCUUCUCAAUAAUCGUCAUAUUUCUCACUCAAAGUCACUAGAUUAAAUUUUGGAUGACAUAAUAAUAUAAAUUUACGAUUACACAUCGGUAAAAUUUAAUAUUCUAUCUAAUCGAAACCGCUUUUAAUCAGAUUUGAUAAAUUAUUUUCAAGGAAACAAUCCAAAUCAAACAAAACAAUGUCAAACCAAGAAUAACAUGUUAUUGUAAUCUUUAAAUUAAAAUAUCUCUUGUCUCAAAGUCGAUCGUAAACAGACCAUGAACAACGCUAGUAACGUAGGAUCAUUUGUCUAUUUUUUUAUUUAAAAAAUUCCAAGAAUUUUAUUUAAUUAUUUUAAUUCAUUAAAUAUUUACAAAAAUUAAUCAUCUAUACAUUAUAAUAAAGCAAAGAUGAUAAUUUGACAAGUUUGUCACGUGUCAGCCAAAUAGAAUAUUAGGAAUAUAUCAAGUUUCUAUUAAUAAAAAUAAUAUCUUAUGUGUCCGCUAAGAAGUUAAUGACCAAUUAAAAAAUUAGAAAGAAUGAAUUAAAAAUAAAAAUAAAAAAUAAAAAAUUAAGAAAGAAAAAAAUAAAACUUCCAAUUACAUCACGAUAUUUGUACGUGAUUGAAUUUAGUGGUCAAUUAAAAAAUUAAAAAUAAAAUACAAUACACCACGACAGUUUUUGAAUGUUUGUAUGCGGCCGUUGAGAAGUUAAUGAUCAGUUAAAUAAAUAAGAAGAAUGAAUUAAAAAUAAAAGGUGAGGUAAUGGCCAGUUAAAAAAAUAAGAAGAAUGAAUUAAAAAUAAAAGAUUUUUUUUUUAAGAAAAAAAUAAAACUUCCAUUAUACCACGACUUUAUUCAUGAUAAUGCAUCAGAAGUUAAUGGCUAAUUAAAAAUAAUUGUUUUUAAACACUACUUUAUUAACCACCGUUUCAAAUUAAUUUAAUUAAAAAAUUUAUUUUAUUUUACUAAUUAUUUUUCAACUUUCUUUUUUAAUUCGUCGUCAUCCGUUAACCGUCUAUCCUCAAUAAUCUCUCAUUUUCCAUGUCUCUUUUAUAAAGAUCAUUCGUAUUAUCUCAGUACACAAUUUCCUCUUAAUUUUUUCUAUUUUAAAAAUUCGUUAUUUAUUUUUUUGUUUAUCGUUAUCCGAUAAAAAAUCAGAUUUUGUUACUUCAAUUUCUCCAAAAAAAAGAGUCAUGAAAUUUGGUUAUUAGAAUCGUGCGAUUACGGUUUCUGUUUGAUCUGAAUAUCAAACAUAAAUUUUAUGCGAUGGAAAUUGUAUUGAUAAUGGAUGACAAGGUUUAACUCUUUGUUUUAUAAAUUCAAAUUUUAAAUUAUACCCAAACUUAUUUGUUAUGUUAUUAAUUUAACAAAGUUGUGUUUCAUAUUGUUAGGGUCAUAAAAUUCAAACAACAGUGUGAAAAACUCUUAUUUCUCGAUUUGAGACUACUAUUCGUGAGAGAGUUGUGUACAACUUUUGUUCUCUUGGUGUUGCGUCUAACUCUGAAGCAUAUAAAACAACCGGACACCAAUUCGAAAGUUUAGUCAGAGUCUCUCCGUACUCAAUUUCAUUCCCAGAAAUUGGAAAUGUUUGGCAGUUUUUUUAAGAUAAUUGUUUUUUAAACACUACUUUUGCAACACCGCUUUAAAUUAAUUUAAUUAAAAAUUUUAUUUUAUUUUAAGAAUUCUUUUAGUGUCAUCAGAUUUUCCUUUUUAAUUCGCCUUCUCCGUCAAUUGUCUCUCUUCCUCUCAUUUUUUGCGUCUCCUUUGUAAAUAUCAUUCAUGUUACACAAAUCAUUUUUAACUUUUCUUUACCAAAUAUUCCUUAUUCAUUUUGUGUUUAUCUUUUUCCUCUGAUGUCUGGAAAAAAAAGAUUUUGUUGCUUCAAAGCCAUGGAGUUUAGUUGUUAGAGUUGUGCGAUCGUGGUUUAAACAUAAAUUUUAUGCAAUGGAAAUGGUCUUGAAGGAUGACAAAGUUUAAUUCUCGUGUAAAUUCAAAUUUUAAAUUAUAUUAUUUGUGUAUUAACAAACCUGCCUUUCAUAUUCUUAGAGAGAUAGAAUUGAAUCAACCGCGAGUUUUUAUUUUUUUACAUUUGAUGUGUACAAUUCUGUUGGUGUUGUUUCUAACAACUUUCUGGUGUAUAUGGAACAAUCGGACACCAUUUCAUAUUGUCAUUGUUAUUUUAUUUUAUUUAUAAAAAAAGAUUACUAUUUUGUUAUAUAUAUUUUUUUAUUGUUUAUGUUUCUAAAUUUUGUCUUACAAAAAUUAUACAUCACUGUAAGAUUUUUUCUGAACAACGUUGCCACAGGAGUUAUAUUGAAGAGAAAAAUAAUACUUUAUUUAAGUAAAUAUAAAAUUUAGGCUAAAUACAAUUCAUUACAUCUAUUACACAUUUUAGUUUUUAUUGGAAGUAAUGAUUUUUCAAACUUCAAACACUGUUCUAACCAGUCUAUUACAUCACGAUUUGACGACAUCUAUUACACAUUUUUUUGUUUUUAUUGGAAGUAAUGAUUUUUCAAACUUUAAAACUGUUCUAACCAAUCUAUUACAUCACGAUUUGACGAGUUGAUAGUUAUGUGAAAAUGUAUAAUGAUUUUUCAAAAAUUAUUAUUUUAAAUGGUUCCAUUUUAAUUUUACUAAUAUACUAUACAUUUUAUAUUCUAAAUUUAUUAUUAAAUAUCAUGCAAAUUCAAAAGAAUUCAAAGGAUUAAUGAAAGAUUAAUGAAUACUAACAUGCAAAUUCAAAGAUAAAAAAUAAUUAUAGUUUUUAUGUGUAUUGUAUUUUUUUUUUUGUAAUAGGAAGAUUAUUUUUCUUUAGUAUUUUAUGAGUAGUACCAGAAUGAAAAAUAUUUUGUCACUUGAUAGAUCAAGAUUUAUAUGAAUUUUUAAAUGUCAUUUAUUUCAUAUAAAUAACAUACUAUGUUAGAAUGAUAAAAAUAAAAAUUCAUUAUUAAGUUAAUUACUCAUAUUUACAUUUACUAAUUUACUUAAUUUAUAUAUGUCAUGUCCAUUAUUUUAAAAAUUCUUAUUUCAUCUAAUCUAAUUAUUUAAUUUUUUAAUAAUUAUUGUUUUUAUUUGUUUAAAAUUAAAAGUAUUGUUUUAUAAUAAGUAUUUUUGGAAAAAAAAAAAAAAUUCGAAUUCAAAAAUAAGAUUAAAGAGUAGUGUUGGAGUCAUGUUUUUCAUGAGUAAUAUUGACCGUAUAAGAAAGUAGUUUUUAAAUUAGAUUAGAAUUAGAUUUUUUUACUGUAAAUUAUUUUUUUAAGUCAACUUAUUAAUUUAAAUGUCAAUAAAAUUUAUAAAAAUUAAUAUAUAUAUAUAUAUAUAUAUAUAUCUUAUAUGGACUCGCAGCAUGUCGUUUAGAACUUCCAAACCCAAUAAACAAACGAUCAUUAGUUGGAUGGUUUGGUGCAAGAUUAAACGACACAAAGAAACGGGAUUAGGGUUUUGCUCUGAUUAGGGAUCCGAAUUUGAUAUUCGAAUCGAAAAAUUCGUAAUCAAAUCAGUAACCAGAGCCAUUAACGCAAUGGUCUGCGAAAAGUGUGAGUAUCUCGUCCUUUUCAGCAAUCCAUCCAUAUUUCUCGCUUAAUUUAUCUCUGUAAAAAAUUCAAUUAAUUUUCGGUAAUUUGAACUCGUGGUUGCAGGUCAGAAGAAAUUAUCGAAGGUGAUAGUACCAGACAAAUGGAAGGAAGGUGCCAGCAAUACUACUGAAGGUGGUGGCCGCAAAAUCAACGAGAACAAGCUCCUCUCCAAGAAGAACAGGUUCCAUUCAACCUAAAAUUUCAAUUUUUUAUUUAUUGCAUAAUUUGUUUCUUUUUAUUUUUUAAAUUGAGUAUGGAAAGCAUAAUAAUUUGGCGCUGAUUGAUAAUAUGCUAAAGUGUAAUUAUUUCUAGUUUUAUAUUGGAAAUUUUGGAGGGCAAAUUUAUUUUCAUCUGCUUGAUAUUCGAAUUUUGAGGUGGGGGUUUUGGAAUUAAAUCCACUCUGCACAGUGGAAAAUCAUUUCAUGCUACUCUAUUUUUUCCCCAACUUGUUUGAAUCUCAAUGCUACUCGUGUUACUGUUAGGAUGAGAUUCUCCAUGGAAGAGUUGAUAUUUGAACUUGUUAGGAUGAGAUUCUUCCAUGGAACAAUAGGCUCUGAUGUUUGCAUGUUUCACUUUAGGAGUUUCUAUGCAUAUUUGGUCUCUGUUUUGGGAAUGUUGGCCUUGAUAUUCCCUGCGCAUGUUAUGCCAUCACAUACUUGGUUUGGUGCUUUAAACUUAAUCUUCUUUAAUGUCUUAUUUGGAGAAAAAAAAAUGUUUUUUCAUAUAUAGAUUUGCUAUGGUUGGUUGUAUGGUCCAAGUUGUGAAAGAAGCCUAAUGUUUUCAGGUGGUAGUUAGUGAUGGAGAACUUGUUAGCUAUUUUGUACAACAAGUGAAUAAAUUGUUGGAUGUCACUAGGACUUGAUAUUGUAAGAUACAGCUUUGUAUUUUAAAAACAUUUAUAUAUAUCCGCUGUUCCCAUUCAUUUUAUUUAAUGUUUGUAUUUUUGUGAUGAAGAUUGGUAUUUCCCCCAUUACUUCACCAAGGUCACUUUCCCUCUUCAUGUUACGACCUACAAUUUAGAUAUCUUGCCAAUACUAUUGCAGUAUUGCACAAUUAAAAUGGGAUAUCUGUAUUUUGAUUGAUGUGGCUCUUGGAAAAUAUUUUUGAUAUAUCUAUCUGGCUCAACCUUCAAAAUUGUUAGAACACGUUUUAGCUUUGUAUAUUCUUUAUCUCGUUAUCACAUAUGUGCACACAGUCUUGUACUUAUAAAUAGUCCUCAAGAGUCAAUACUAUAAGCACUGCUUACUAGUUGUACACUUAUAAAAGUAAUACUGACUAUACGUAAAGUUCUUGCGUUUUGGAUGGCUUAAUAAUAUCUGUCCAAAUUGCCAAGGAUUUUGGUCCAGAGUGAGUGUCAUUAUGAAUAGAGAUAGUACACUUGAAGGAGGGCUGUGCCUGUGCCAUUACUUUUUGUAAAUAUUUAUGCAUUAGUCUUGCACUUAUACUUGAUUCACGAUACCAUCGACAAUUUUUUUGUCCAAAUAUAUACUAUACCUUGACAUGUUGUUUAAAGGGCUCCCUUUUCUUCUUUUGUAACUUGUUUUUAUUACACCCUGCAUUUUUUUCAUCAUGUGAAGUGCGUUCUUAUUUUAAAUUAAUUCCUUGCAGAUGGACCCCUUACGGGAAUACCAAGUGUAUCAUUUGCAAGCAGCAAGUGCACCAGGAUGGCAAGUACUGUCACACCUGUGCUUACUCGAAAGGUGAUAUUUCAUGUUUAGGCGUUUUGCAUUUGCUGCUAUAUUGUAUCAUGAAAGUGCAUAAUUCGACUGCUGAUGUAUUUUGUAUUUGUAGGAGUUUGUGCGAUGUGUGGCAAGCAAGUUCUUGAUACCAAGUUUUAUAAACAAAGCAAUGUGUAGUGCAUUUCUGCUGCAUUCUGAUCUUGUUGCUAACACUGUAACUGAAUCUGUAAAAAAUAAAUUGUUCUAUUUUCUCUGUCAUAUGUAAUUGACUUAUUGAAUGUUUAUUCCUGAUCUAAAACAUGUACCUUUGGUCAACUAACUCAAUUUUUACCAGAACAGAGCUUAUUAUAAAACUUAUUAUAAAAGGGUGUUUAGGUCAAAAUUGAUUUUGACUCUAGCAAAAGGUUAAACAAAAGUGAAAUAAGAAAUUCUACAGGAGUCAUAUUGAAAAAAUUAAUAAAAUAUUUCAAAUAUUAAUUUUGACUUGUUUUAAUAAACUUUCUAAUAUAGAGAGAUAUUUUGGUCACUUCUUUGCAUACAAUUUAUUUUAAUUUUUCCACACCAAAAAUUCUUUACGAAAUAUUUAAGGAAAAUUUAUAUAAUUCAAGAUUAUUGAUAUAUUUUUCUAAAUUGGAUCUUUUUUUUAUUAAAGUGACCCUAGAAACAUUUGCAAUGCUGAAAACUUAACGGUUUCUUACUUUCUAAAUGUUGUCCUCUAAUCUUUUUUUUAUCAUUGGAGUGUGUAUAUGACAAUUGAGAUAAGGGAUUGGUGUUUAAGGAACUUAAUUAUUAAAAUCAAAUUUUUAUUAUUAAAUCUCAACUGGAAAAAUUGGAGAGCAUAAGCAGAAAUAAGUAUAAGUUGUUUAUUAUAAUCAGUUUAGAAUAAAAUUAGUAAAGUUGUUUAUAGAUUUACUUAAAUGUUAUUAAAGUUGUUUAUAGAUUACUUAAAUGUUACGUGUGGUAGUUUGAGCCCAUAAAAUAUAACUCAAGUAACCUAAAAAAAUUCUCUCGUUAAGACACUAAUAGUUAUUUUAGGAUUGUUACUAAAGAAAUUUAAACCAUAUUCCUUAAAAUUAGGAAAUCAUAUUCUACCUGUAGAAGUGAUACAUGAUGGCUAUAAUAUUAAAUAAUACUACUAUUAUUAAAUAAGAGAGAUAGGAUUUAUUUUUGUUUAUAUUUAGUUUAAAAUAUAUUUCAUUUUUGCUUAUUAAUUUGUACCCCAACACUGUAAUUGUAAAAUUUAUGUCUUGACUUUCUACAUGUCAUAAGUAGGCAGACAAGAAAUGUCCAAAAAAAUAUGAAGAUAUUUAUUCAAAGUUUAUUUCCAUAACACGUAUAUGGUAGUUAUUUAUGACUUGAUUUUACUUGGAUAUUAGUAUGCUGAUAGAUUGAACAUACCAUUUAUUUUCUUUUUUUGUCCUAAAUAGUUCGUAAAUUGCUACAUGUUCAGACAAUUUGUUUGUCUAAACAUAGAUAUGAAAAAAACAUACUCUAAGUGACACACAAGUAUGAUAACUUCAUUCACAUUUUCUUUAUUCAUUAUUGAGUCCAAAUCACAGGCAAAAGAAAAGCAAAAGAAAAAUAAGCUAAAAACUAAAUCGAUUUAAUUGUAAAUUUUAAGCAUCAACAAUGUCCUCUAAUUCAACAGAAGCCAAAACAAGUUCAGGUUCUUCCCUUGCAGAAUCGCAAGUUCCAUCAAUUGCAUUGUUCUUUCUCAAUGCCUUCAAUGUCAAAUGAGCUGCCUUCUACCCUGAUAUCAUCAUAGCUCCAAAUGCUGGACCCUACAAAAAUCACCGACAAAAUCGUUAUCACAUCUUAAUCAAAUAUUUCUUACCAUCUUGAAAUUAAUUGCACUAAAACCAAUCAACUUGCAGUUAAAAAUAUCUAUCAAAAACCUUGAUAUUAAUUUCCACAUUACUUUAAUUACUUCCUAAAUCAAAAUUGUACAAACAAGCCUAUAAACAAAAUAUUCUUUUCUUUGCUAGAUUAUAAACAAAAAUUCUAGUUCCCCCAAAGGUUAACUCAAUAUAUUAUUUUACACAAAAUUGUCAAAGCCUACAUUAUAUACACACACAUUAUCUACGUAAAAAUCAUUUUUAAAAGAUACAUUUUUUUUAAAGAGUGUGAUUUUUAUCAUAUUAAAAUCUCUAAUAAUAAAAAUAUAAGUUAUUAUAUAUCAAAAUUAAUUUUUUAAUCAAUAAUAAAUAAAUCAAAAUUAACAUAUAUUAUUUUUAAGAAAAUUAUUUCAAAGAUAUAAAGUCAAAUCAUUUUUAUAUUCCACUAGACUCCAUUCAAUGAUAUCAAUCCAAACAUAACUAAGAAAGAAAAUUUAAUAUAACUUUUUUCUUCCACUCGACCAAACUGUGUUCUUGCACAAUCUGCUCAAUUAAAACAUAAAGUAGAGUGUUUAUAGAAAUAUAUUAAGCAUUUCCAUUGACAAAAACAUCAUUCUUUUUAAAUAUAUAGAAAAAAACAUAGUUGGCUGGUUCCCUUUUAAAAAAAAUAUACUAUUUUUAUUUCUUAAAUUUUAUUUUUCAGAAACUAGGGGAACAAAAUUAGAUGGCUAAAUUACAUUUGUGGUUCUUUAACUUAAUCUCAGGUAACGUUUUAGUCCUUUAUCUUAUUUUUUUCCCGAUUUACUCCUUUAUUCCUAACAAUAUCAAAAAUAUGAGUUUAUUUGAAGAUUUGCGUUACGAAUUUGAUGAAAUUUGUAUUAUACUGAAGAAUAUAAUUAAUUUUAUGAGUUUUGAUUUAAUUUUUUUUUUUGAAUUUUUGUAUAAAAAAGGAUAACAUUGUUGAAAUUUUAAAACAUAAAAUAUCAAAUUGUCACUUAAAAUUAAAAUAAAGAACCAAGUCGGGAAAAAAAAAGAUAAAAGACUAAAACGUUACUUGAGAUUAAGUUAAAGGACCACAAAUAUAAUUUAGCCAAAAUAGAUAAUUUUUUUAACGCAAACAAUUGUCUAAUUUAAAAUUCAAAAUGUCUAUAAAUAUCACCAUCACAUCUAAGAUGGCGAAAGAUUAUCCUAUUAGAUUCUUUUCAAUUUGGUAAUUAUUUUCAAUGGAUUCUAGAUAAGAGCAUCUAUAACGGUGAACUCAAUAUGGGUUUUUUAGAUGAGGUCCACUGUGCCACAUUAUCUUGAAGCAAUUCACUCAUUUUCUACUCAAACGGUGAACUCAACAUUAUUCAAGUUCUACUAUGCUACAUCAAUGUAAAUCAACUCAUUCAUUUUUUACAGUUUAACUUUUAAAAAAUCAUAUUAUAUUCAAUUACUUUAAUUUAUAUAUUAAUAUUUAAUUUUAUUAUAACUUAAAAUAUUAAUUUAAAUGGAAAAAUAAAUAAAAAAGUACGUUAAUAAAAACUUUAAUAAACUUCUGUAACAAAAAUUGUGAAGAAAAAGUAUGAGUAACAAAUUGUUUAUAUUAAUGAGCUAACAAUCUUAAUUAAAGGAGAAAAAAAAGCUAACGGUGGUAUAUUAACUAAAAAAAAGCUAAUGGUUACAAAAUUAUUAUUAUUUAAUAAAUUAAAAAGAAGUUAACGACUAUAAUUAAAAAAAGCUACCGAUUAUAAUUAUAUUAUUAUUAAAUUAUGAAAGUAGAUAGAAAAAAAAAAUAAAAAUUAACUGCUAUGAAACACCGUUCCUUCCUUACAGUACCGUGAUGACACUUUGACACAACUCCAAUGGUGAACCCACAAAAAACUAAAAGUUAAGUACACGUUGGCGACGAACUUAUUUUUACUCUCGUUGUAGAUGCUCUAAGUAAUAUAUCCUUUGAAAUAUAGUGAAGAUGUAACAUUAAAAUUUUAAAAUUAACUAAUCUAUUUAUUCUAUUUCAUUCAAUUACAUUUCAUCUUAUGUCACCGAUCUAACAACACUCUUUGAGAAUGUGCAUGUAGUUUUCCUACGCUUAUUUUUUUUAAUUAACGACUCGGAUUCUCUUGUUUCAGGGGAGGUGGAUUUGAUGAUGUGGGAGAUUCGGGUAGUAAUUGGUUUUCCAUUGAAGAAUGAGGAUUUGGGAGUUGAAGAGAGAGAAAUAGUGAUAGAUGCGUUGGCCAUAGUGGAUGCCACGAAGAAGGGUAUUUUGGGAAUAGAAAGGUAAUUGAUAUUUAUGAGAAUGGGUUUUAUAAAGACGGAGAGGUGCGAGAUGUGUGAAAUAUGUGAACGGAAAGAUGAGGAUAUAAUUUGAACGGCUCCCAAACCUUAAUGUCAGAGAUAUUUUUUUAUGUGAUUGAAAUCAUUGCCUUUUUGCUCUAUUAAUUCAAGUGUGAGUGCUCCAUUAACUACUAUGUCCUACAUCCACAUCAUAAAUUAAAAGAUACUCCCUCCCUUCUUUUUAAGUGUGUUUUAUUUAUUUAUUUAUCAUUUUUAAAGUCAAAAUUGUAUUAAUUAUUAGUUUGUCAAAUUAUUUUUAAUUAUUUAUUAUUAUAAUGAGAAAAAAUAUGAAACGUUUUUUAGUGUAAUAUUUUUAUUAAUAACUAUUUUUCAAAUAUUUGUUAAUAUUUUUUCAUAACUUAAAAGUGAUAAUUAAACAAAACAGUGCUAAUAUUAUAAAUACUAUUUUAAUACUAUGUAGUAUACUAUAUAUAAAAUGGAGAUAUGAUGUCAAUAUAUAUAUAUAUAUAUAUAUAUAAUAAAGUGAAUGUUAAGUCAUUUUAUCACAUACUUUUUAAAUUAGAGAAUAUACUUUUUAAAUUAGAGAAUAAAAAAAAUGAAGGUAGUUAGUGGAAUGAGAUUAAAUGGAUAUCAUCAUGUUCUAUUUUAUUUUUAAAAACAAUAUUCAAACAAUGGAGUGCUAUAUUAGAUUCGUUUGUCUUAAAUUUUUUUAAAAUAAUUUAUUUUUUAUAAUAUUUAUAAAAGAUAAUUUUAAAAAUAAAGUUUAAAAUGAAGAAAUUAUUUUAAAUAAUUUAUCUUAAAAUAUUAUUUUUUUAAGUAUUUUAUUUAUUUGUUACCAUUGUUUGCAUAACAAAUUUUAAAUUUUUUUUCAUAAAAAUUAUUUUUAAAACAUACAUUUUUUUCAAAGAGUGUGUUUUUAAUCAUGUUAAAAUCUUUAAUAAUAAAAAUAUAAGUUAUUGUAUAUCAAAAUUAAUUUUUUAAUCAAUAAUAAAUAAAUCAAAAUUAAUAUAUAUUUUCUUUAAGAAAAUUAUUUCAAAAAUAUAAAAUCAAAUCGUUUUUAUAUUCCACUAGACUCCAUUCAAUGAUAUCAAUCCAAACAUAAUUAAGAAAGAAAAUUUAAUAUAAUUUUUUUCUCCCACUAUUUUUCUUCCACUCGGCCAAACUGUCUUCUUGUACGAUCUGCUCAAUUAGAGUGUUGAUACAGAUAUAUUAAGUAUUUCCAUUGACAAAAACAUCAUUCUUUUUACAUAUAUAGAACAAAUAUAGUUGGCUGGUUCCCUUUUAAAAAUAUUAUUCUAUUUUUAUUUUUUAAAUUUUAUUUGUCAGCAACUAAGGGAACAAAAAUAGAUUAAAAAAAAUUAGCAUAAACAAUUGUCAAAUUCAAAAUUUAAAAUGUCUAUAAAUAUCACCACCACAUCUAAGAUGAUUAAAUAUUAUCUUAUUAGAUCCUUUUCAGUCUGGUAAUUCUUCUCUAUCGAUUCUAGAUAAGUAAUAUAUCCUUUGAAAUAUAGUGAAGAUGUAACAUUAAAAUUUUAAAAUUAACUAAUCUAUUUUUUUCUAUUUCAUUCAAUUACAUUUCAUCUUAUGCCACCAAUCUGACAAUACUCUUUGAGAAUGUGCGUGUAGUUUUCCUACACUUAUUUUUUUUAAUUAAGGAUUAUGAUUCUCUUGUUUUAAGGGAGGUGGAUUUGAUGAUGUGGGAGGUGCGGAUAGGAAUUGAUAUUCCAUUGAAGAAUGAGAAUUUGAGAGUUGAAGAGAGAGAAGCAGUAAGAGAUGCGGUGGUCGUGGUGGCUGUUAUGCCAUAAAGAUGGGUAUUUUGAAAUAAAAAGUAAUUAAUAUUUGUUAGAGGAGAGUAGAAUGUGUUUUAUAAAGACGGAAAGAGGUGUGAGAUGUGAAGUGUAUGCUUUUUGAAUGAUGAGGAUAGAAUUUGAACGGCAUAUAAGUAGUAUACUAUAUGUAAAGUGCAGAUAUGACGUGCGAGAUGUGAAGUGUAUACUUAAUAUUAUCUGCAUAUAUGACAUCAAUAAAUAUAUACAUAUAUAAUACAGAGUGAAUGCUAAGUCAUUUUAUGAUAUACUUUUCAAAUUAGAAAAAUGAAAUAAGAUAAGUAGUGGAAUGAGAUUAAAUGGAUGUUUUCAUCUUCUAUUUUUAUUUUUUUUUUAAAUAUUCAAACAAUAGAAUGUUACAUUAAGUCCGUUUAUUUUAGAAUUUCUUAAAAUGAUUUUUAUAACAUUUUAUUUUUUUGUUAUAAUAUUUAUAAAAAAUAAUUUUAAAAAUACAGCUUUAAAUGAAUAAAUUAUUUAAAAAAAUUUAUUUUAAAAUAUUAUUUUAAAUAUUUUAAAUAUUUUAUCUAUUUAUUACAAUUUUUUACAUAAUAAAUUUAAAAAUAAAAUUAAAAUAAAAAGUUAUUUUAAAAAACUCUUUAUAAAAAUUACUAAGUCAAAAUCGACUACUAUCAAUUAUUAUCGCAUAGGAACCAAAAGGACCAGUAGCACCAAAAGGACCAUCAUGUCCACAAGAACUCACAACAACCUUAGCUUCCAUAAUAUUAGGAUCCAUACAAGAGCCAUGAUUCACUGAAACCAAAACCCAAUUCGUAACAACACCACCAAUUCUUCCUUCUUUCACAAUCAAAUCAUCAACAACAACAACAUUGAACAAUUUCACGUUAGGUUUAGCGAGAAGCUUGCUCAUAUUGUUGAAGUGAACAAAGCAACGUAUUUGAUUACAAUGUAGUCUUCUUGUUCGUCGUAAUCAACGCCAAUUUCGUCGAGGAAGAG
This 26630-nucleotide long non-coding RNA is filed under the name Cicer arietinum (chickpea). RNAcentral describes it as "long non-coding RNA (CARI_LNC001063)". The record is from RNAcentral. Lineage: Eukaryota; Viridiplantae; Streptophyta; Magnoliopsida; Fabales; Fabaceae.